GACGAACGCUGGCGGCGUGCUUAACACAUGCAAGUCGAACGGAAAGGCCCUGCUCUUGUGGGGUGCUCGAGUGGCGAACGGGUGAGUAACACGUGAGUAACCUGCCCUUGACUUUGGGAUAACUUCAGGAGACUGCGGCUAAUACCGGAUAGGAGCUCCUGCUGCAUGGGGGGGGUUGGAAAGUUUCGGCGGUUGGGGCUGGACUGGCGGCUUAUCCGCUGGUUGGUCGGGUAGUGGCUUACCAGGGCUUUGACGGGUAGGCGGCCUGGGAGGGUGAACGGCCACAUGGGGCCUGCGGUAGGGCCCAGAAGCCUACGUGCGGCAGCAGGCGGGAACAUUGCACAAUAGGCCCAAGCCUGAUGUGGCAACGCUGCGUGCGUGAUGACGGCCUUCGAGUUGUAAACCGCUGUCGCCGGUGCCGAAGAGGGAGUGACGGUAACUGGUAAAGAAGCACCGGCUAACUACGUG
RNAcentral lists this ribosomal RNA (468 nucleotides) under uncultured bacterium. RNAcentral describes it as "partial 16S ribosomal RNA". It matches the Rfam family "Bacterial small subunit ribosomal RNA", at positions 28 to 507 of the family's 1533-position model. The record is from RNAcentral.